GCGCAGCAGGCGCGAAUCCUCUACAAUGUGCGAAAGCAUGAUAGGGGGACUCCAAGUGUCUCUCUAAAGAGAGACUUUUGUAGUAUGUAAAAAGUACUACGAAUAAGGGGUGGUCAAGACUAGUGCCAGCCUCCGCGGUAACACUAGCAGCCCGAGUGGUAGUCAUUUUUAUUUGGCUUAAAGCGUCCGUAGUCUGAUUAGUAAGUUCUCUGUGAAAUCCUGUUGCUUAACAAUAGGGCUUGCAGAGAAUACUACCAAUCUUGGAGCCAGGAGGGGUUAGGGGUAUUCCGGGGGUAGCGGUGAAAUGCUAUAAUCCCCGGAGGACCACCAAUGGCGAAGGCACCUAACUGGAAUGGGCUCGACGAUGAGGGACGAAAGCUAGGGGAGCAAACCGGAUUAGAUACCCGGGUAGU
Molecule: ribosomal RNA, 413 nt
Filed under: uncultured microorganism
Description: bacterial SSU rRNA
Rfam family: Archaeal small subunit ribosomal RNA
Source: RNAcentral